GUAAGUACGGGUAAAUGUGAACUAUAUUAUUUAUAUUAUCACCUAAUCUGCUAAAUUCAACUAUAAGGCAUGAAGAUAUUAAGAUAUUAUAAACAUUAACUCAAUGAUUGUCUGUAAAGCUGCUUUAAAACAAUAUGUAUUGUGAAGAGCACAAUACAAAUCACUUUUCUUUUUACUUGACUUGAGAUGAAUGGGAAUGCUAAUGUCACGGUUCAUGAAUGCACCGUCUCCUGCUGGUUUGUUGUGACGUCAUGUUAAUUGUUUUCAUGUGGGUGUUACCGCUGAUCGGCUGAUCAGCGGCAGGUGCGGCUCGUUACAUCAGCCUAUAUAAUGCCUGGUCUUUCGUCUCUUGUUUGUCAGAUCGUUGUGUGUGAGGUCCGCGUGGUGUAUGUCUACUCGUUGUUCGGCGUUCCUGCCUCUUGCUCUGUUUCCUGUUCGGUCGUCACUGGAUUACAACCUUGUUUACGGAUAUCUCGCCUUCACCCACUCCACCAACGCACUCAAGGGGAGUGUUUGUUCCUCACCAUCUCCACCAACGCACUCAAGGGAAUCGUCGGGUCUUCACCAGUUCUAUCAGCGCACUCAAGGGAAUCUACUCACCUGUCUGUGCUGCCAUCAAAGUCCCUGCGUCAUUCUCCAGGAGCCUGUCAUCAUCUCAUAGUGUCAAUAAACAUCAUUAUUACUCGCAGUUGCCUCCUGUCCUUUAUCACGCCGUGACAGCUAACAAAUUAGACCCCUUUCUAAAAACCUAAAAAUGAUUUGUCAAAAUAAAUUCUGAGCGUGCCUUUAAUGUACAUGUGCUGUAUGUAGAAAACAUUUGUUGACAUGUUUCAUAGCUCCUCUUAACAAGAUUUGAUCAUCGUUCCUCAAAUACCAUGAACAUAAUCACACUCAGACACACAUGCACACAUCAGAUAUCUAAUGCUUACCCUCUCUAACACAGCCAAUGCUCGAUUUUCCUUCAGCAUAUUGGUCAUGGCAUUCAUCAACAACACAAGUGUAAGAAAUCCCACACAUUAGAGCAUUUGUCUUGGUAAUCCAUAUAGAAAAUUGAAUUCGCCAGUGAUGCUUGAGAACACCUCCUUCUGAAAUCCAGCCAUGGUAUAAUUCUGUUUGGCUCAUAUGAAGAGUCAUCAUACAGCGAUCAUAGGUCAACAGGAAACUAACUGAGGUCUCUUCACUCUGCCCCAUUCUCCAUGCCCGUGCAAACAGCUAAUGGGCUGUACCAGAGCAUUAUGGGACCAGAACAGGUCCACUUUGAUUUAUUGAAGUGAAUGAUGAAGGCACCAGUGGUUCAGAUGUUAUAAAGUCUGGUGUUUAUGUGGCGACCCAUUGCCUCUGUGCUAUUAAACCUGGAUAGAUUUUCUGAAAUCAAAGGGACAAUUCACACUAAAAAUUCUGUCAUUUACUCACCAUCAUAUUGUUCCAAACUUAUAACUUUCUUCUGUAGAUAACUAGUUUCUGUGGAUAUAUAUAUAUAUAUAUAUAUAUAUAUAUAUAUAUAUAUAUAUAUAUAUAUAUAUAUAUAUACACAUAUAUAUAUAUAUAUAUAUAUAUAUAUAUAUAGUGAUCAAUCUUUUAAGUUAGAAAUAAAAACACUUAUUUCAAAGGGUUUCCUUCCUCUCACCAUUAAG
This is a long non-coding RNA of Cyprinus carpio carpio, 1634 nucleotides long. NCBI's taxonomy places the organism in Eukaryota, Metazoa, Chordata, Actinopteri, Cypriniformes, Cyprinidae. The record is from Ensembl.